This 652-nucleotide ribosomal RNA is filed under the name uncultured bacterium. Its description in RNAcentral is "bacterial SSU rRNA". It matches the Rfam family "Bacterial small subunit ribosomal RNA", at positions 56 to 755 of the family's 1533-position model. The record is from RNAcentral.
UGCAGUCGAACGAACACUUCGGUGUUAGUGGCGCACGGGUGCGUAACGCGUGGGAAUCUACCCUUGGGUUCGGAAUAACUUCGGGAAACUGAAGCUAAUACCGGAUGAUGACGUAAGUCCAAAGAUUUAUCGCCCAAGGAUGAGCCCGCGUAGGAUUAGCUAGUUGGUGAGGUAAAGGCUCACCAAGGCUACGAUCCUUAGCUGGUCUGAGAGGAUGAUCAGCCACACUGGGACUGAGACACGGCCCAGACUCCUACGGGAGGCAACAGUAGGGAAUAUUGGACAAUGGGCGAAAGCCUGAUCCAGCAAUGCCGCGUGAGCGAUGAAGGCCUUAGGGUUGUAAAGCUCUUUUACCCGGGAUGAUAAUGACAGUACCGGGAGAAUAAGCCCCGGCUAACUCCGUGCCAGCAGCCGCGGUAAUACGGAGGGGGCUAGCGUUGUUCGGAAUUACUGGGCGUAAAGCGCACGUAGGCGGCGAUUUAAGUCAGAGGUGAAAGCCCGGGGCUCAACCCCGGAAUUGCCUUUGAGACUGGAUUGCUAGAAUCACGGAGAGGUGGGUGGAAUUCCGAGUGUAGAGGUGAAAUUCGUAGAUAUUCGGAAGAACACCAGUGGCGAAGGCGGCCCACUGGACGUGUAUUGACGCUGAGGUGCG